GGGGGAGACCCCUGGUAGACUCUCUCCGGGUAGGCUGUGUGCUUCAGAGCUGGGUAACUAGCUCUCGGAAAAGAUCCUCUCACACUUGGUUUGGCGGAAGGGAGUGUGGAUUUCCAGCGUCCUGGGAAGCCCUACACCACUUUGAUGGCAUCAUGCAAGCAUCAUCCCAGUACAAUUUGUGUGGUGAUGAGAAUCUGGAGAUGCAUUUUGUGGACUUGCAAAGACGGAGUGGGUUGGCUCCACCAGUGAACUGGACAGCUGCUGUUCAGAAUUACAUUUCCAUGAAAAACAUAUCUGGAGUGUAGAAUACAUUGCCCCACCAGCCCCCCAGAACCUUUUGUGUGUACAAGUUUCCAAUGUAGGUUGAAUAUUAUUUAGAAUGCUGCAAUUCUGAGUAGAUAAGUCCAGUGAAAUAUUCAGCUUGUAUCUUUGCAUAAGUCAUUAGACUGAAACCUUUCUUUGUUUAAAUAAACAUACAGCAUAUUCAUGUAUUUUGUAAAACAUGUUUAGUGUUACAUCCGUGUUAUCAGUUGAAUGGUCGAUUGUCAGAAAAUUAUACACCUAAUAUUUUGGUAAUUGAUUUUAAUUGUGUUUUGAAUAUAAGCAGGUUCCAGCCUCUAAAAUGUGAAUAUUUGCUGGAUUCAUUUGUUCUCUGUGAGGCUUCACUUUCUGACAUUUUAAAGACCAAGGCGUGUCCGAAAUCACUCUCAUUCACACUAUAGGGAAUUCUAUAUAGUGAGUAGUGAGUGAUUUCAGACACAGCUCAUAACAAAUUGAUGAAUCAACAAUAACAUUCAUUCAUUGCAUCAGUCACAUAUGCUACUGUUAUUUCUGUUUUCACAGUGGAUCUGAGAAUACAAUCUUGUGAACCAGC
Molecule: long non-coding RNA, 874 nt
Organism: Gymnodraco acuticeps
Lineage: Eukaryota; Metazoa; Chordata; Actinopteri; Perciformes; Bathydraconidae
Exons: 2
Source: RefSeq, a predicted model, not a curated record